CUGGUGAGUAACACGUGGGUGAUCUGCCCUGCACUUCGGGAUAAGCCUGGGAAACUGGGUCUAAUACCGGAUAGGAGCCAUUUUUAGUGUGAUGGUUGGAAAGUUUUUUCGGUGUAGGAUGAGCUCGCGGCCUAUCAGCUUGUUGGUGGGGUAAUGGCCUACCAAGGCGGCGACGGGUAGCCGGCCUGAGAGGGUUGACGGCCACAUUGGGACUGAGAUACGGCCCAG
RNAcentral lists this ribosomal RNA (228 nucleotides) under uncultured Actinomycetales bacterium. Its description in RNAcentral is "partial 16S ribosomal RNA". It matches the Rfam family "Bacterial small subunit ribosomal RNA", at positions 105 to 334 of the family's 1533-position model. The record is from RNAcentral. Lineage: Bacteria; Bacillati; Actinomycetota; Actinomycetes; Actinomycetales.